Molecule: unclassified non-coding RNA, 93 nt
Organism: Hucho hucho (huchen)
Lineage: Eukaryota; Metazoa; Chordata; Actinopteri; Salmoniformes; Salmonidae
Gene: Vault
Rfam family: Vault RNA
About the family: This family of RNAs are found as part of the enigmatic vault ribonucleoprotein complex. The complex consists of a major vault protein (MVP), two minor vault proteins (VPARP and TEP1), and several small untranslated RNA molecules.
Source: Ensembl
GCACUGGUUUAGCUCAGUGGUUAUGACAAAGCCUAGAUACCACGGUCCACAGCGGGUUGGAGUGCCGAACCACGGGCGCUGUCCAGCGUAUGC